This 103-nucleotide non-coding RNA is filed under the name bovine gut metagenome. RNAcentral describes it as "THF riboswitch". It matches the Rfam family "THF (Tetrahydrofolate) riboswitch aptamer". From Rfam's summary of the family: THF riboswitch presents a pseudoknot that joins P1-P2 and the loop of P3 and two THF binding. The record is from RNAcentral.
CAGAGUAGGCACAACGCGUCAAGUGCCGGGGAAUGGGAAGUUGUCUCCGGACGAAGGCAAGGCAGGUAAAUGCCGAGCUGCGGUGUUGUGCUGCAUCCGCUGC